Molecule: long non-coding RNA, 4236 nt
Filed under: Ovis aries (sheep)
Lineage: Eukaryota; Metazoa; Chordata; Mammalia; Artiodactyla; Bovidae
Description: lncRNA (ENSOARG00000026301.1)
Source: RNAcentral
AUGCGGGAGGACGAUGAGGCCUGGGCCCUGGCAGGCGGGGGAGCCCCGAAGUACGGCUCCCCAUGUGUAACCGGCGCGCCGAAAGCCGCCCCCACGACUGCGCCUGGAAGCCCAGCUCGGAACUCGAGCUCGGGGAGGGAAAGAGGCCACGCCAGCCGCUGGGCUCCCGCUCGGCCGCGGAAGAUCAGCUUCCUGCAGGUUGAGCUUCCGCUUCACGCCCGUGACCGCGUUUUCUUUCUGAGCGAAACCUCCGGCGACCAGAGGCUCCAGGUGAAGAGCCCGGCGGCCGCGCAAGCCUUUCCGGAGGAGCCGCGAACACCCUGGCCGAGUCCGCGCACCUGUCCGCUCCCGGCCCCGCUCCCUCUGGACCGCGCGCUGCGCAGCACACUCGGCCGGAGGAACUCCGGCCACGGGUUCGCGAUCGCCUCUCGCCCGGCGCCCAGCGCCGCUGUGGCCACUGGCCGGGGCGCGGGGCCUCAGUGCGCGCCGGGUGCAGCCUGGGGACCCGGGUUCCUCCCCGCGGGGUUCCAGAGCCCCUCGCGGUCCCGGGGUCCCUCUCCGAGGGGCCCCACAGCCCCUGGCGGUCCCGGGGGUCUCUCCCCGAGGGGGUCCCACAAACCCCUCCCUUUCGGGGCAGCGGAGAGUGGGCGCCGGCCUUACCGAUGUGAGCGGGGCGCACGGGCGGAACGCGCGGCGGCUGUGAGGGAGUCGCGGGGAUCGCGGGGGUCGCGGGGGCGAGGGCGCCGCUACGACCUGAGUCCAGAGAGCGCGGCGCGCGGGGCGCUCGGGCCUUCGACACCUGUUGGACCGGCGGCGCCUUUUAACCGCGCCCCGCACCCCGCCUCCUCCCGGGAGCUGUUGAGAAAGUCCGGAGGGGGCGGCUCCUCGGCGUCCGGCCGCCCCCAGCGCCGAGGGGCGGGGCGCGCCGCCGGGGUCCGCGGCGCUUCCCCCGGCCCGAGCGCGGUGCUGGCUCCAGGGUAAAAUGUACCUGCUGCUGUAGAUAAGUCAUUUUACUCCCAGGGUGACAAGAGAGUCCCUGUGGCCUCAGGGGAAGCAGUGUCACAGAAGAAGAGGGCCCCAGGCCCUGAGCUCGGCCGCCUGCUCUCCUGGGCCUCCUCCGAGCUUGGCUCCCAGAUGCUGAAGACCCCUCUCAGGCUGGGAGUGGACUGCCUCCAUCAGACUUGUUUCUCCAGGGCUCCUCUCUGGUCUGAGGAUGUAGGUUCCAGGGGUGGAGGAGAAGCAGCAACACCAUUUGAUUGAAUCUUUUACGAACUUAAUAAAAUUAUUUGUCUAAAAAAAGGACCCACGUAUAAUGCUCUGGUGUUCAGCUUACUCAGGAGUCAGGGGUCAGCUGUUUCAGUGGAUCACGUAUUUAAUGUCAAAAGUGUGGGUGGGACUACUGUGCCGUGGGAAAUAGGAGAGAUAAAUAUACAGCCUUUUGUUGUUUCUUCAUGGCCUUUGAUCCGUGGUGGGGGCACUUGGACCCCCUCUCCUUAGUGAUGCUCCAUCUGUUCAGUGAGUGGUAGGUGGAGAUGCUGUGGGUCAGCCUGGAGGAUCUGAGCAUCAUUAUCUCAAUCACCGUCUGGUGGGAAACACCCAUCUUUCCUCACAGGCUCCAUGACAUUGCACACGAGGUUACUAGGUUGCUAGGCUUUGGAACAACAUAGUCCCUGCCUACAGUUUACCAAAGGAAAAGGUAGACUGUUGCAGAGGUAACGGAUCUGAACAACUAACUAGGUUGUGUGACUGACAUAUAGAACACAGAGACACAAAGAAAGGACUCCCUGGGUAUAAUCCAGUGCGAACGGGUGAGCUACUGACACGCGGCUGGAUUUCCUGAACUGUGCUCAAUGCUUUAGGUUUACUUCAUCACAUAACUCCAAGAGGGUAUUUCUAGUCCAGCCCAGCACCUGGCUUGCAGGAGAAGCUAGAGAAAUUAAGAGUCCCCCUGGGUUUAAAGGGAUUCGAUUUGAUAAAGGAAGGAGUAAGUGUUGGGGAAGAGACAGCUGUGGGAGACAUCUGCCUCCAUCCUUGAGGGGAGAUGUGGUUCAGACAUCUACUGUGGUUGAAACUUCGGCCCCAGGCUCACCUGCCACCAGGCCCCUCCCCGCCGGCGCGCCCCGCCCCGGAGCCCCCCAGCCCCCCGACCCAGGGCAAACUGGGACGACGGGCUGUCACCGCAUGACGGACUUGGCUCCUGACCUCCUGCCUGUGUCGGGGAAGAUAAGGAGAACCCUUUGAAAGGGAGGAGAAAGCAGAUAGUGGUCAGAGAACAAAGCAAAGGAGCUGGCAGGAAAGGGCGGCUGAGGUCUGGUUCCGAGGAAUGAAGAAGGACGUCAGGUCCCCAAGAGCGCUUCUCAGCAGCGUUAGUGCAGUUUCAUCUGUGCAGAAGUGAGGGCCCGGGCGCCCGCAGGGUGUGUGCUGAGUGACCACACGGGACGCCCUCCCAGGGCAGAGACAGGACAGCCAAGACACUCCCCACAAGUGGGACUGGCUGCUGAAGCCGCUGGGAGGACAGACUCAUGUUCUGUCCAUGGGGCUGCAAAGAGUCAGGCCCUCGGGUGGGUGCAGGUUUUAUCAUCCUGCCAUGAGCAUGGCAUUUCCAGCGUGCCAGGGUCUCAGAGGUAUGGGAUGCAACUGUUUUUGAAAUCGUUCCUGCCUGAAAUUCCGCAUGUCUGUGAGUCUAGCAUGAGGCUCCUUGUGCAGGGGAGGUGGGAAUGCAGGACCCCCCACCCUAGGCUGGCUGAACUUGACCCUGGAGUGACCCUGGGACAGGUGCUAUGAAUGACACUGAGAUCUGACUGCUCUGUGGGAAGGUGGAACCAGGCUGGCCGAAUAAAAACCAGCUCAAGAGCUUGUUAAACAUACAGAUUCCUGGGCUGUGGGGCCAGAGAGGCUGUCCCAGUAGAUGUGGGAACCGUGGUCUGUGAUCCACUUUAGUUUGUCCUCAUGGUUUUGUGACUGAACUCGGCACUGUCUUGUCAGAAGUGCUUCAGAGAAACUCGGAUCCUGACCCUACGAUAUCUACUCUGCCUGAGCGGUGUCUGCCUCCUGUUUGGAUCGGAACCAUGGCAUCCGGGGCGAAGGCACGAUGGGAUAAAGCCCCAGACCCCAGCGUCUGGUGAGGAGGAGCCUGGCAUGUGGCCAGGAUCAUCUCUGUGGUGUGAGGACUGAACACAGACGUUGGCUCCUGACGACUGCUGGGUGCCCCUGCCCCCGACCCCCAGAACAGAAUCCAGGUCCUUUCGGGGCUGAAGUUCAUCCAGAGAAAACCAAUUCCCUUGUUGACUUAGGCCUUCCUCUUUCUGAACAUCAACACUGUCUCCAGUUGUAUUCAUAUGUUUUGGGUAGAAACUAAUCUCUUAGCUAAUGAGGUGAGUAAGGGUAACCGCAUACAAAGAAACCUCACAGCUGAGCGCUAACUACGUUUUAAACCACCUUAACCCCGAAUCCAAGUAUGAUAGCAGAAAAGCUAGAAAUACAUUAUUUUCGUGUCUGUCUAAUAAAUCACACCCAGAAAUGAUUUAGGGUAACAAGAAGCUUCACAUUUCUGAGGUUGAUUAAUGAUGGAGUCUCUGAGGUCUGCAGUGUCAUCUUUACAAAGACUCUUGGCUUUGGUUUCACUGUUACUUUAGUUCCUCAUGGUGGAGAGUUUCCCGUUGUGCUCUGACAUCUGAAUGGCUCCAAGGCCAUUCUGUCACUUCCCCGAUGUCCCCUCUGACAGUGACCUGAAAAGGCCUUGGGCGGCCGUGUCCGCAGAUAGGUGGCCUGGGUGCUGAGGCAGCCUCGGCUGGGAGGUCUUCUCUGGGACCUCGGUCCCCCUCAGGAGGGCGGGGGGCGAGAGGGUUGUGAGCAAGACCCCAGCAGGUUGCACACACACCCCCACCAGUGCUCCUGCUUGAUGCUAGUGCUCGAGCUUGGUACUCAGUGCUUGUGAUCAUUGCUUGGUGCUUGGUGCUCAUGCUCAGUGCUCGGUGCCCAGUGCCAGUGCUUGUGGUGUGAAGGACUGUGUGUUGGGGGCACAGGGAGCAGGAUUGGCUCUGCCCUGCACGGAGCCCCCACCCUAGCGGAGAAGCAAGGACCCUGGAGCACGAAGCCCACAGUGACCUUGCGGAGGGGGGCAUCCUGGGAAGAAGACUGCACUAGUGGAGGAGGAUAGAUGGGAGGAGGGAGCUGGUGUGAUGCCUGGGAGGUGAGGGGUGGAGGGUGAAGGGUGGGGAGUGGAGGGUGAGGGGG